This 483-nucleotide ribosomal RNA is filed under the name uncultured bacterium. Its description in RNAcentral is "partial 16S ribosomal RNA". It matches the Rfam family "Bacterial small subunit ribosomal RNA", at positions 30 to 507 of the family's 1533-position model. The record is from RNAcentral.
AUUGAACGCUGGCGGCAGGCCUAACACAUGCAAGUCGAGCGGAUGAAGGGAGCUUGCUCCUGGAUUCAGCGGCGGACGGGUGAGUAAUGCCUAGGAAUCUGCCUGGUAGUGGGGGAUAACGUCCGGAAACGGGCGCUAAUACCGCAUACGUCCUGAGGGAGAAGUGGGGGAUCUUCGGACCUCACGCUAUCAGAUGAGCCUAGGUCGGAUUAGCUAGUUGGUGGGGUAAAGGCCUACCAAGGCGACGAUCCGUAACUGGUCUGAGAGGAUGAUCAGUCACACUGGAAAUGAGACACGGUCCAGACUCCUACGGGAGGCAGCAGUGGGGAAUAUUGGACAAUGGGCGAAAGCCUGAUCCAGCCAUGCCGCGUGUGUGAAGAAGGUCUUCGGAUUGUAAAGCACUUUAAGUUGGGAGGAAGGGCAGUAAGUUAAUACCUUGCUGUUUUGACGUUACCAACAGAGUAAGCACCGGCUAACUUCGUG